CAGCCGCCGCGGUAAAACGAAGGGGGCUAGCGUUGUUCGGAAUUACUGGGCGUAAAGGGCGCGUAGGCGGCCAUUCAAGUUAGAUGUGAAAGCCCUGGGCUCAACCUAGGAAUUGCAUUUGAUACUGUUUGGCUUGAGUUCGGGAGAGGUGAGUGGAAUUCCCAGUGUAGAGGUGAAAUUCGUAGAUAUUGGGAAGAACACCAGUGGCGAAGGCGGCUCACUGGACCGACACUGACGCUGAGGCGCGAAAGCGUGGGGAGCAAACAGGAUUAGAUACCCGCGUAGUCCCUGUCUCUUAUAC
Molecule: ribosomal RNA, 301 nt
Filed under: uncultured bacterium
Lineage: Bacteria
Description: partial 16S ribosomal RNA
Rfam family: Bacterial small subunit ribosomal RNA
Source: RNAcentral